Molecule: ribosomal RNA, 624 nt
Filed under: Triticum aestivum (bread wheat)
Lineage: Eukaryota; Viridiplantae; Streptophyta; Magnoliopsida; Poales; Poaceae
Description: partial small subunit ribosomal RNA
Source: RNAcentral
AUGAAGCUCAUUGGCUGGAACUGCCGUGGCAUGGGCAAGGACCUCAGCAGCUCUACUAAGAUGGAGUACCUCGCAAAAUUGAUGAAUUCCACCCGUGCUCAGGUAACUUUCGUAUCUGAAAUUAGAACAUCAAGGUACAGUUCUUCUCAUCUUAACUCUCAAUUUAAUAAUAACGAUAGCUUCGUAGUUCCAUCUGUUGGUCGUUCUGGUGGUCUUUGGAUACUUUGGUCUGAUGAAGUUUGUGUCUCUGUCAAGUUCUCUAAUCAUUAUAUGAUUUUAGCCCUUGUUGUCAAUAAAAUUACCAAUGUGGAAUUUGUUCUGGCUUGUGUUUAUGGAGAUCCCCAUCAUUGCCACCUAAUUUGGGAUCAUGUUCUAAAUUUUGUUAAUGAUAACAUAGGGAAGCCAAUUGUUUGUUUCGGUGAUCUGAAUGAUAUCAUGUGUGAUACGGAAACUACUUCUCUCAAUGUGAAUAAGAACCGUAUGCGUGCUGUCAAUAACUAUGUCAAGCAAUGUGGUCUGUUUGAUCUGGGGUUUAGUGGACCGGCUUAUACUUGGACAAAUAUGCGGUUCUCCUCAAGACCUAUCUUUGAAAGGCUUGAUCGUUGUCUUGCCAAUGCAGAUUGA